Molecule: long non-coding RNA, 1506 nt
Organism: Cyprinus carpio carpio
Lineage: Eukaryota; Metazoa; Chordata; Actinopteri; Cypriniformes; Cyprinidae
Source: Ensembl
UGUGAUUCCAGGACGACUUCCUGUAAACACACUGAGAGAUUUGUGUGCUUUGAGGUUCAGCUUGAUUCAACAUCAUUUCCCACUGCUUUAGGACUUUGUUGCUGCUGGGAACGGAGCGGUAGGGGAGAGAGACAUAGAGAGAGAGACGGAGAGAGAGACAGACGGAGGAAAAAGGGCUUCCCACUAACAUGUACAUCAAAAGCCUUUUGGUUCUCUCUAUCGCUUUAUUUUUAUUUGGUGUCAGCACUUCACAGUGAGCGCGGUAUGGAAAUGCGUUUGGCUGCCUGGAAAGCUGUCAGGAAACACACACAACUCAGUUGCACGGAGUUGCUAACAUCAAAGAAGUCGUGUAAGGGCCGCGGAGAGCACACGGGCGACGGAGAACCAGACAUCCUGAAAGGACAUUUCUGGAUUUCUGGAUUCCUUUGUGUUCAUGGAGUGAGGAGGGACACGAGCAGCAGGUAUCGGUGGUGGGCUCAGACGCACUGAAGGAUAUCAUAGAGAGAGUGACAUUGGACAGCCUGGGUCUUCAUGGCCACGCUUGACUGGAUCCUCCAAAGGGCCUCUCCUCUGUCCACUUCACUUUCUGUCCCCUCCGCUGAGGGCCUCAGGGGCCCCGGGGACCUCCAGGGAAGGGGUGGACGGAUGGACACAGACAUUUGACAGGAGAGGAAUAACUGUGUGGCUGGGUGACAGGCCAUCUAUCCAUGCAGACUCAUGCCGUUUCCUUCAGGAGUGCUGCCCCACUAAUAGGAACAUGCCCUGGAACUCAAGCUGGAAAAUACAUCUCAUUCCCGCCCGCUUGUUUUUUAGGCCAUCGAGGAUCCUCAGUCAUCAAUAUGAAUCUGAGUCGGAGAGGGUUUUUCCCUUCUUUAUCCGUUACUGUGAGCGCCGGCAGCCUGAUGGAUCUCUGCCAUCACUUCUGAAUGAUGUUUGCCUUUCAUUUCUAUUUCUUCAUCUCUCUUUCUCGGCUCUGUCUCCAUCCUUUUUCUGCCACUGCUUGGGCUAUUCUGAGCCGCAAAGAAAGACAUCUUUGAAAUCGUCCAUGGAAAUGUGCAGUUUGGGGGUCACUCAGCUGCAGAUGAAAUGACUGAAUUACACAGGCCCGCUGUCAGCCGUGAAUCAGAUCAGCCAGUCAACUCAUAUACAUGAUUUUACAAGUCACUGAAGAAUAUCACACAUAGAGUACAUUAUCAAAUACUGCUUUUUGAUAUUGCAUGCAAUAAUAACAAUAAGUUACAUAUUAAUUAAAAGUUUUUAUAAGAGACACCAAAAAUGCAAAAAUGACACCAAAAUAUUUUUGUUUAAGUGUCCAAUAAACAAUAUGGAGGUUUUAUAUUAAAAAUCUAUUAUUUUGAAAUAAAAUAAAUAAUUAUUAGACUACCAAUACACAAUAUCCAUUGUGAAUAAUAAUAAUAAUAAUAAUAAUAGCAUGAUUAUUAUUAACAUUUAUUAUUAAUAAAUAAGCAUAAAUGGUUGUUAAAAAAAGUGUGCGAGAGAGAGAGA